Molecule: ribosomal RNA, 910 nt
Filed under: Pseudeurotium hygrophilum
Lineage: Eukaryota; Fungi; Ascomycota; Leotiomycetes; Thelebolales; Pseudeurotiaceae
Description: SSU rRNA
Rfam family: Eukaryotic small subunit ribosomal RNA
Source: RNAcentral
AGUGAAACUGCGAAUGGCUCAUUAAAUCAGUUAUCGUUUAUUUGAUAGUACCUUACUACUUGGAUAACCGUGGUAAUUCUAGAGCUAAUACAUGCUAAAAACCUCGACUUCGGAAGGGGUGUAUUUAUUAGAUAAAAAACCAAUGCCCUUCGGGGCUCCUUGGUGAUUCAUGAUAACUUAACGAAUCGCAUGGCCUUGUGCCGGCGAUGGUUCAUUCAAAUUUCUGCCCUAUCAACUUUCGAUGGUAGGAUAGUGGCCUACCAUGGUUUCAACGGGUAACGGGGAAUUAGGGUUCUAUUCCGGAGAGGGAGCCUGAGAAACGGCUACCACAUCCAAGGAAGGCAGCAGGCGCGCAAAUUACCCAAUCCCGACACGGGGAGGUAGUGACAAUAAAUACUGAUACAGGGCUCUUUUGGGUCUUGUAAUUGGAAUGAGUACAAUUUAAAUCCCUUAACGAGGAACAAUUGGAGGGCAAGUCUGGUGCCAGCAGCCGCGGUAAUUCCAGCUCCAAUAGCGUAUAUUAAAGUUGUUGCAGUUAAAAAGCUCGUAGUUGAACCUUGGGCCUGGCUGGCCGGUCCGCCUCACCGCGUGCACUGGUCCGGCCGGGCCUUUCCUCCUGGGGAGCCGCAUGCCCUUCACUGGGUGUGUCGGGGAACCAGGACUUUUACUUUGAAAAAAUUAGAGUGUUCAAAGCAGGCCUAUGCUCGAAUACAUUAGCAUGGAAUAAUAGAAUAGGACGUGUGGUUCUAUUUUGUUGGUUUCUAGGACCGCCGUAAUGAUUAAUAGGGAUAGUCGGGGGCAUCAGUAUUCAAUUGUCAGAGGUGAAAUUCUUGGAUUUAUUGAAGACUAACUACUGCGAAAGCAUUUGCCAAGGAUGUUUUCAUUAAUCAGUGAACGAAAGUUAGGGAUC